This 139-nucleotide unclassified non-coding RNA is filed under the name uncultured Helotiaceae. Its description in RNAcentral is "sequence contains ITS2". Lineage: Eukaryota; Fungi; Ascomycota; Leotiomycetes; Helotiales; Helotiaceae. The record is from RNAcentral.
UAACCCUCAAGCCUAGCUUGGUAUUGGAGUCGCUGUACAGCGGCCCCCAAAUUCAGUGGCGGUGCCUGUAGGUUCUACGCGUAGUAACUUUUCUCGCUAUAGAUCCCUACGAGUGCUUGCCAACAACCCCAAUUUUUCA